This 1951-nucleotide long non-coding RNA is filed under the name Homo sapiens (human). RNAcentral's name for it is "non-protein coding lnc-RNMT-8:1". Lineage: Eukaryota; Metazoa; Chordata; Mammalia; Primates; Hominidae. The record is from RNAcentral.
CAAGAUGUGGAGGGCAAUAUGCCUCUCUCUGGGUUCGCCACGGGAUCAAGUUGCAGGGGCUGUCACUGGCAACACGCUUCUGCCUGAACGGUUCUGUGGGAUGAGCCCCAGGGAGGCGCUGGCAGCCUCACACCCUCCCCUCCCAGUCCCGCCCCUUGUGUUGGCUGCCUUUGUUUCUCCAAGACGGUUUUCUGAUCAAUUAAAAUCGUGUAGGGUCUUAAAUGGUAAUUCUGCCUUUUCAAAUAAACAAAGGCGGAGAACAAAUGGGAGGGUAAGUUUUAAUAAACCUUAGGCAUCAUUUCCUCCUGCUGUGACACUAAAUUUACUUGGAUAAAAACAACCUCUUAGAUUUACAUUUUGAUUCUGUUACUGCUUUCAUGUGUGCGGGGCUGUCCCACUUCAGAUGAAAUUUAUCCACUUCUUUAAAUAUUUAGUAGUCUAGCGUGGAUGUUAAUGAAAGUCUGGCGGUGCUAUUUUGAGAAUUGCAACAAUGAUAGUAAUUUUCAGUGUCAGAUUCCUGCUUCGCAAAGGGAAAGAGGGAUGGGAGAAGGGGGAGGGAAAAAUGGUUUCAGUUCUAAUAGAGUUUGCCAUCCGCUGGGCCGUGCCAGACAGAUGGGUCAUGAAUACUGUCUAGACGCUCUCUGCCUGAGCGAAGCCCUGGUCUCUAAGGACACGCAAUGAGACGCCGGCUUAAGUAACUGGGGAAAGUCAGGGCAAGCUCUCCUGUAACCAGAUAGAAAUCAACGUGAUCCUGCUUCCUGGGGGAGGCCAAGGGGUGGCCGGGAGGGUGUAGGGAGAGGGGGUGCUAAGAGAAAAGGCCCGCUGUUACUGAUCAAUUUUAGUGCAAACUUGACAAUUAUUAGGCAUUAGGGAGAGCGUGAAAGGACAGUUGUAGGAUGAUAACACUAUUGAUUUAAGCCGUACUGCCCAGAAUGCAGAAUGAUAUAUUUCAGACCCAGGCUUCAAAGGCCGGAGAGGAGCUGGGGUGAAAAGGAGGAUGUUGUCGUGUGUGCUUAAGACGGGAAUGCAGCCCGCGGGGUGACCUGCGUUAAUUGUGUAUAUUAACACACUCAGCACUGCUCUUGUGGAAACCGUUGGUCUUGACUGUUCAUUUAGCCUCUUAAUUUGCAAGGGUUUUAGAGGCUUACCAGGCUUGCUUUCUCUUUUUAUGAAUUUCUGCGAAUUUCUUCAUGCUGGGUCUCUUCCGGGCAGCUCCACAACUGGCAGAGCUGUAGGAAAGCGGGUAAAAAAAUCCCCAGCGCCUGCCUGGCUGCGCUUGGGUGCCUGCGUAGUCGUGAUGCUUGUCUUCCUAAUUAUUUUCUGAGUGGCGGGGAUGGAGUUUAUGUGAUGUCAGAAGUGAGUUUCUGCUCAUGAAGACUCCCAGUGUAAGUGUGGUGGGAGUCGGGAAGGAGAUAUUGAGGUAAAGAUGAGAUUGGGGGGCGGAGGCUGGGGGACCACCGAUAAGGCGGGAGGUGACGCAGCAGCUUGCCGUUCGGCUGGGAGGUGCUUUGUCGCUUGGUUUGAUGGCCGCUAAUCACGUCUUGGUCUUGAAAAAAAUUAUCCAAAAGGGUACUACGGUGAAACUUGGAAGGGACCAUCUUUGAGUAACUGAAGAAAUAAAGCUGAAGUCUAAAGCUGCCAUGAGAUACGUCGUGGACUGCAGAGGUGGGUGACCCUCCGAGGGCUGGACUUCUGGAUUCAUCCUCUGGGCUGGUGCCUCUUUCAGUCAUGGCAGCUUUAACAUGGGAAAGAAACCCCAACAACCUAAACUUUGCAGUAAUCAUUUUUUCACUCCUUCAUCCAUUCUUGUUCUGUCCCAAGAGCUAAUAACAGAGGGAAAAGAAGAUAUUUUUUGCUUCCUUCCCAGAAAGAAAACAGAGAUCAAAGAUAAAAAAUAUUUUCAAAGUAGACAAUCACUGGAGAGGGAAGAAAGAAAUCUUGUUUCAGGAGU